GACCUCAUGCUCCUGGAGCGGCCGAUAUCUGAUUAGCUAGUUGGUGAGGUAAAGGCUCACCAAGGCGACGAUCAGUAGCUGGUCUGAGAGGACGACCAGCCACACUGGGACUGAGACACGGCCCAGACUCCUACGGGAGGCAGCAGUGGGGAAUUUUGGACAAUGGGCGCAAGCCUGAUCCAGCAAUGCCGCGUGAGUGAAGAAGGCCUUCGGGUUGUAAAGCUCUUUUGUCAGGGAAGAAACGGCCGAGGCUAAUACCUUUGGCUAAUGACGGUACCUGAAGAAUAAGCACCGGCUAACUACGUGCCAGCAGCCGCGGUAAUACGUAGGGUGCAAGCGUUAAUCGGAAUUACUGGGCGUAAAGCGUGCGCAGGCGGUUUUGUAAGUCUGACGUGAAAGCCCCGGGCUUAACCUGGGAAUUGCGUUGGAGACUGCAAGGCUUGAAUCUGGCA
RNAcentral lists this ribosomal RNA (452 nucleotides) under Massilia sp. Its description in RNAcentral is "bacterial SSU rRNA". It matches the Rfam family "Bacterial small subunit ribosomal RNA", at positions 209 to 653 of the family's 1533-position model. Lineage: Bacteria; Pseudomonadati; Pseudomonadota; Betaproteobacteria; Burkholderiales; Oxalobacteraceae. The record is from RNAcentral.